AGAUGGUUUCGGCUAUCGCUUACAGAUGGGCCCGCGGUGCAUUAGCUAGUUGGUAGGGUAAUGGCCUACCAAGGCAACGAUGCAUAGCCGACCUGAGAGGGUGAUCGGCCACACUGGGACUGAGACACGGCCCAGACUCCUACGGGAGGCAGCAGUAGGGAAUCUUCCGCAAUGGACGAAAGUCUGACGGAGCAACGCCGCGUGUAUGAAGAAGGUUUUCGGAUCGUAAAGUACUGUUGUUAGAGAAGAACAAGGAUAAGAGUAACUGCUUGUCCCUUGACGGUAUCUAACCAGAAAGCCACGGCUAACUACGUGCCAGCAG
Molecule: ribosomal RNA, 322 nt
Filed under: Listeria monocytogenes
Lineage: Bacteria; Bacillati; Bacillota; Bacilli; Caryophanales; Listeriaceae
Description: bacterial SSU rRNA
Rfam family: Bacterial small subunit ribosomal RNA
Source: RNAcentral